RNAcentral lists this long non-coding RNA (822 nucleotides) under Gallus gallus (chicken). Lineage: Eukaryota; Metazoa; Chordata; Aves; Galliformes; Phasianidae. The record is from RNAcentral.
GAGAGAGAGCCCUUCCAGGCGCUUCGGCCGCCGCCAUUUUGAGUGGCGGGUCAGGAGCGGCGGGCCGGGAGGGCGGAGCGGGAGGCGGUCGCUCGUCCUCCUGAGGGGAGCGCCGUCGUUGUUAUAAUGCCAGACUUAGAAAAAGUCAAUUAAACGUUUCUGUAAUACAACUCUUCCCCCUGGGGGCUGACGUGUGUGUCAGAGAGGGCUGCAGUCUCAGGAAGGCGCUCAGUGAAGGCGAUGCCCCCAAGCUGUCAGCCCUGCUUCCUCAGUCCUUGGCGUUAGGCGCAGCUGAGGGGCAGAGUUGGAAGCGGGGCGCGGGGUGCGGCGGGUGAUGUGGCAGACCCUGUGGAGGCGCGGGCUACAACCAAGAGUUAGGAAAAGGAAUCAAUGGGUGAUUUCCACCCCAGUAACAACUGCCUCCCUUGGGAGCCCACCAACAGCCAUUCAGGCAGGGGUACAGCCAUGUGCUUGAUGGCACGAGGAUUCACUUUCUGGGGAGGUAGGUUUGGCUAUCAGAGGGGUGCUGGGUUAGGGUGAGUGCUAUUAUGGAAUUACUCUUGAAUUUACUAAAACAGUACCGUGCACCAACAACUUAACAGUCAAAUAUUAAAUCAGGUUUCUUUGAAAGCUACGUUGAAUCCUCUGUAACUUCAAGAGAUGUUUCAAGUAAAUGUCAGGCUUGUUGUUCUGUUAACUUUAGCUCAUUAUUUGUCUUAAGCAAUCCGUGAUAUGACAAUCACAGCUCCUUCUAUAGACCAGAUUGCAGGAGGGAUUCCCAUGAGAUAGAAACAGUUUUUAAUCCUCUCAGCAUUUACAUAC